UACGGAGGGUGCAAGCGUUAUUCGGAAUCAUUGGGCGUAAAGCGCGCGUAGGCGGUUUUUUAAGUCGGAUGUGAAAGCCCGGGGCUCAACCCCGGAAGUGCAUUUGAAACUGAAAGACUUGAGUAUGGGAGAGGGAAGUGGAAUUCCUGGUGUAGAGGUGAAAUUCGUAGAUAUCAGGAGGAACACCGGUGGCGAAGGCGACUUCCUGGACCAAUACUGACGCUGAGGCGCGAAGGCGUGGGUAGCAAACAGG
This 253-nucleotide ribosomal RNA is filed under the name uncultured bacterium. Its description in RNAcentral is "partial 16S ribosomal RNA". It matches the Rfam family "Bacterial small subunit ribosomal RNA", at positions 524 to 776 of the family's 1533-position model. The record is from RNAcentral.